Molecule: ribosomal RNA, 135 nt
Filed under: uncultured bacterium
Lineage: Bacteria
Description: partial 16S ribosomal RNA
Rfam family: Bacterial small subunit ribosomal RNA
Source: RNAcentral
UGGGGAAUAUUGGACAAUGGGCGAAAGCCUGAUCCAGCUAUGCCGCGUGAGUGAUGAAGGCCUUAGGGUUGUAAAGCUCUUUUACUAGGGAUGAUAAUGACAGUACCUAGAGAAUAAGCUCCGGCUAACUCCGUG